CAGCCGCCGCGGUAAUACAGAGGGUGCGAGCGUUAAUCGGAUUUACUGGGCGUAAAGCGUGCGUAGGCGGCUUCUUAAGUCGGAUGUGAAAUCCCUGAGCUUAACUUAGGAAUUGCAUUCGAUACUGGGAAGCUAGAGUAUGGGAGAGGAUGGUAGAAUUCCAGGUGUAGCGGUGAAAUGCGUAGAGAUCUGGAGGAAUACCGAUGGCGAAGGCAGCCAUCUGGCCUAAUACUGACGCUGAGGUGCGAAAGCGUGGGGAGCAAACGGGAUUAGAUACCCCUGUAGUCCCUGUCUCUUAUAC
Molecule: ribosomal RNA, 301 nt
Filed under: uncultured bacterium
Lineage: Bacteria
Description: partial 16S ribosomal RNA
Rfam family: Bacterial small subunit ribosomal RNA
Source: RNAcentral